This 73-nucleotide transfer RNA is filed under the name Monognathus jesperseni. RNAcentral's name for it is "tRNA-Asn". The record is from RNAcentral. Lineage: Eukaryota; Metazoa; Chordata; Actinopteri; Anguilliformes; Monognathidae.
UAGGUGGAUGCUCUCUGGUUUGGGCACUUAGCUGUUAACUAAGAUUUUGGGGGAUCGAGGCCCCCCUACCUAU